RNAcentral lists this long non-coding RNA (22911 nucleotides) under Vitis vinifera (wine grape). Its description in RNAcentral is "long non-coding RNA (VVIN_LNC003669)". Lineage: Eukaryota; Viridiplantae; Streptophyta; Magnoliopsida; Vitales; Vitaceae. The record is from RNAcentral.
CUAAUGGGAGCUUAGAGAAGUGGUUGUACUCCCACAACUACUACUUGGAUUUUGUCCAACGAUUGAAAAUUAUGAUAGAUGUGGCAUCAGGGUUAGAGUAUCUCCAUCAUUAUUAUUCAAAUCCUGUGGUUCACUGUGACUUGAAGCCUAGCAAUGUCUUGUUAGAUGAUGACAUGGUUGCACACAUAAGUGAUUUCGGCAUUGCAAAACUGUUGAUGGGAAGUGAGUUUAUGAAGCGAACCAAAACCUUGGGCACCGUAGGCUAUAUGGCACCAGGUAAAGUUUCCUACCAUUUCAACACAUUCUUAUGUCAUUUUUUCUCUCUCUCAACUAGUUGGUUUUCCAUUUGACCAAGAAGCAAUAUUUGGCAUAAAAGUUUUACAUAAUGAACAACUAAUAUUACAUGCAGGGAGUAGGUUAGAGGAUAAGUUAUUGUAAGUAUUCAAGGUUUUUUAAAUUGUUUUCAAUCUUUUGAAAAAUGGAGAGAUAGUCAUUGGCUCUUUACAAACAUCUUACAUGAUCUUUUUUGACCUCUUGAUACUUAAUUAAUAUUUUUUAACAAGAAGAUCGUUUUUUUAUUAAUUAUUUAUCUUUCUCCAUAUUACUAUUUCUUUGUUCAUUUUACUAAUCGAAACUAAUAAGUAUGCAGAGUAUGGCUCAGAGGGAAUAGUAUCCACAAAAGGUGAUAUAUAUAGUUAUGGGAUCCUGUUGAUGGAAACUUUUGUGAGGAAGAAGCCUACAGAUGAAAUGUUCGUGGAGGAACUAACCUUGAAGAGUUGGGUGGAGUCAUCAACCAACAACAUAAUGGAGGUUAUAGAUGCCAAUCUCCUGACAGAAGAGGAUGAAAGUUUUGCCUUAAAACGAGCUUGUUUUUCUUCUAUCAUGACAUUAGCUCUGGAUUGUACGGUUGAGCCUCCUGAGAAGAGGAUUAACACGAAAGAUGUGGUGGUUAGACUCAAAAAGCUUCUGAAUCAAAUUGAUGUUUUAAGAACUCCAUAAUUAAGAAGAAGGCAUGGAGAUCACAUCACUUUCUUCCACCCUGAGCUUGUUUAAGAGUUUACAAAUCAUGAACUAAGGGACCAUUGGGCAUGGUCUGCUAGGUAUUGAAAGUUCCUUAUUAUAUCACCUUUAUACAAAUCAUUUUGUAUGCUUUUAUUUAAUUUUUUUCCAUUGGGAUAAUAUUAAGUGAAGAUACUUAAUGAAUGACUUCCAGAAGAACAUUUCGUACUUCUCUUUUUAAGAUACGGUAGAUUCUACUACAAUAAAUUAUUUGGCUAUGAUUGAUCAUUUCAGCAAAUUGUCUUGUCAAAAUCGACCUCUAUUUGUAGAUAUAUUUUACUUAAUUUGUUAUAACUUGCAAUUACUUAAUUUCUAGAUUGGUCUCACUGGUGUAACGGCUGCUGCUUGCUGCUGUACUUCAGAAGUUGUUGCACUUCCAAAGUGAGGUAGUUUGUUAGAUUUUGCACCAGGCUUGACCCGAGGUUAGCUCUUUUGUCCUUUUGGAAAACUGCACCGCAGCUGUCCCUUCCUGACCGGCUCAACCCCCUUCUCCAAAAGAGGUUGAGGGUGUCUUGUCCCUUUCGGGAUCACCACACAGGGUUUACCCACCAAUUACUUUGUUCUUUCUUCAUUCUUCCUACAUUUCUCCAAUUCCGUUAUGACAUGCAGAUGCUUGUUGCAUUGUUUUGAGUGUGUCCAGCUGGAGACAGUUGCAGCAGCUCCGGUCAUAAUUCAUGCUUUCAGUGAUGUGUAGGAAAUAUCAAACUUCAUGUUUGGUCAUGCAGAAAAUGACAGCUGAAUUAUAAUUUUUAUGGGAGUUAGAAAAGUCUUGCUUCUUUGAUGAUUAUCCAAAGAUUCAAUCAUGAAAUGCAGAAAAUGUAAAUCUUCAUGUAUAUAGGUUUGGAACUUAUUUCUUUAGAAAAUAUAUGAAUCUUCAACAAUCCCUAAUUUCACACCCAUAUCAAUGAUGUGCAUGCCCCAUUCAUAUGUAUUACAACCAUCCGCAAUAUAUAUCACAUUCAAACAAAAAUAUUCUUAUAGAAUUGAUAUUGACUCUAAAUAUUUGAUCAAAUAUUCCACUACUUAGAUCAAAACUCAAUGGCAAAAACAAUGAAGGAUAGAAAUUAAAAAAUAAAAAAUAAAAUUAUUUUUAUAUAAAAUGAAAUAAAAAUACCUUUGAAGCUCUUCAUGUAAUGGGUUUGGAGUUAUUUAUUAGUUCUUCAUCGAUUGAUUUCUUCCAUGUUGUCUAGAAUAUGUACUAGAGAUAGCUCAAAACACCCAUAAUCAUAUACAAAGAAAGAGGAGCGAUAUAGCAUCUUUUAGCAAAUUUUUGCUUGCAAAAUGGGGAUUGGUAGUUGAAAAUUUUAUUAUUAUUGAUCUACCAUUUCCAAGCAAAAUCAUCAAAACCUUCGAAAUGUGAUUAUUUUUUCAUUAAAGGGUUGUCAAAUUUCUUGUUAAUAAAGUUUCACAAAAGAUAAGAAAAUAAAAUUAUAAGGUAUAAUAUAUGUACUUUUUAAUAAUAAUAAUAAUAAUAAUAAUAAUAAUAAUAAUAAUAAUAAUAAUAAUAAUAUUUGUAUUUUGUCUAUCGUUAUAUAUAUAUAUUAGAUGUUCUUUAAGUAUAGGAAUAUUCUUAUUGCUUUUAUAAUAAUAUAUAAGAACAUUAGAAAAAAAAUAGUUAAUGAUGUAUUUUUUGACAAAUGUAAUAAUCAUAAUUUCAUAUUUGAAACUACCAACAACAUAAUGAGAUUCAACAUCUAUAAAAUUUAUAGGAUUUAUGUUAGGAUUUAUAACAUAAUCUAAUUAUAUUUAUAUGUUAGCAUGAGCAAAUUACAAAUAAAUUAUUUAGUUGAGUAAAUUACAAUAGAUAUGAUAUUUUAUAUCAAAAGAUAAUUUUUACUAAUGAAUACAUUAACUAUAUAAUAUUGGAAAAGAACAUUGAAAUUUUUUAAUAGAAUGAGUGUAGGGUUAAAUUAAAUUCAAUACAUUGAACUAUCAUACCAAAUGCUUUUCACUUUGAUUGAUUUAGCAAUUAUUAUAAAGCUUAUAAUUUUUAGAAAAUAAGAAAAUAAAUUUUAAAAAUCAUUCACAAAAGGUAGAUAGCUCUAUUUGCAAGUGGGGUUUUGUCUACCGUGGCAUGUGGACUACGGCACCGUGAUAGCCCACUCUUCACUGCACCAGGCUUGACUCGAGGCUAGCUCUUUUGUCCCUUUUGGAAAGCUGCGCCGUAGCUGCCGCCCCUUCUUGGCCGGCUUAACCCACUUCUCCAGAAGCGGUUGAGGGUGUUCUUGUCACUUUAGGGACCACCACACAGGGGUUACCCAGCAAUUACUUUGUUCUUUCUUCAUUCUUCCUACAUUGCUCCAAUUGCAUUAUGACAUAUGCAAAUGCUGUAGAAUUGUUGAAUAUGGUUGUAAUUCAUAUUUAUUACAACCAUGGUUAUAUAUAUCACAUUCAAAACACCCUCAAUCAUAUACAAAGAAAGAGAAGCGAUAUGGCAUCUUUUAGCAAAUUUUUGCUUGCAAAAUGGGGAUUGGUAGUUGAAAAUUUUAUUAUUAUUGAUUUACCAUUUCCAAGUAAAAUCAUCAAAACCUUCUAAAUGUGAUUAUUAUUUCAUUAGAGGGUUGUCAAAUUUCUUGUUAAUAAAGUUUCACAAAAGAUACGAAAAUAAAAUUAUAAGGCAUAAUAUAUGUACUUUUUAAUAUUAUUAUUAUUAUUAUUAUUUGUAUUUUGUCUAUCAUUAUCUAUAUAUAUAUAUUGAUAAUUUAUUUAAAGUUAUAAAUUUGUUAAUAUUAUUACAUAGUUAUGGAUUUCUUUAAUAUAAUAUGCUAGAUGUUCUUUUGAGUAAAGGAAUAUUGUUACUGCUUUUAUAAUCAUAAUUUCAUAUUUGAAACUACCAACAACAUAAUGAGAUUUGACAUCUAUAAAAUUUAUAGGAUUUAUAACAUAAUCUAAUUAGAUUUAUAUGUUUAAUUUACAUGAGCAAAUUACAAAUAAAUUAUUUAGUUGAGUAAAUUACAAUAGAUAUGAUAUUUUAUAUCAAAAGAUAAUUUUUACCGAUGAAUACUUUAACUAUAUAAUAUUGGAAAAGAACAUUGAAAAUUAUUAAUAGACUGAGUGUAGGGUUAAUUUUGUAAAAUAAAUUAUUUUUAGUCUUUAAUGACUUUCAUUAUCAAAGAGUUAAAUUAAAUUCAAUACAUUGAACUAUCAUACCAAAUGCUUUUCACUUUGAUUGGUUUAGCAAUUAUUAUAAAGCUUAUAAUUUUUAGAAAAUAAGAAAAUAAAUUUUAAAAAUCAUUCACAAAAGGUAGACAGCUCUAUUUGCAAGUGGAGUUUUGUCUAGGGUAGCUCUUUUGUCCCUUUUGGAAAACUGCACCGUAGCUGUUGCCCCUUCUUGUGUUAAGGGUGUUCUUGUCACUUUAGGGACCACCACACAGGGGUUACCCAACAAUUACUUUAAUAUGUCUAACGAGAGACAGUUGCUGCAGCUCUAGUCAUAGUCCAUGCAUUCCAUGAGGUGUAGGAAAUACCAAACUUUGUGUUUGGUCAUGUAGAAAAUGACUGGAUUUAUAAUUUUUAUGGGAGUUGGAAAAGUCUUGUUUCUUUGAUGAUUAUCCAAUGAUUCAAUCAGGACAAGCAGAAAAUGUAAAUCUUCAUGUAUAUAGGUUUGGAAGUUAUUUCUUCAGAAAAUAUAAAUAUUCAUGUAUAUAUGAAUCUCCAACAAGCUCUAAUUUCACCCCUAUAAAUUCGAUAUUUCACUCCCAUAAUUUGUGUCAUGCUCCCAUAUUAUAUUACUCUUCUCCAAUAAUCACUUAUUCUGCUUUAUUAAUUCCACUCCAAUAUCUCUUAAUUUCACUUUCAAGGACAAAGUUAUAAAUCUUCUAUUCUAUUAAUUUAUAUCAUGAUCUAAUUGCUUCGUGUCCUUAGUCACAUUGCUUUGUACCCUUGAUCACAUUGCUUUGUAGUGAGGUUUCAUUUCUUCAUGUUUUUGUCCCAGAUGGUUGAUCAUACCGUAGUUCCUUUUGCUUUGCAUCCCCAUUGUUGGUACAAAUCAAAUAAAUAAGCUAUACUCAACUGUCAAUGGUGUGCACCCAAUUCAUUUGUAUUACAACCAUAUGCUAUAUAUCACAUUCAAAUGGAAGUAUUCUUAUAGAAUUGAUAUUGGUGUUAAACACUUGACCAAAUGUUUCAUUAUUUAGACCAAAGCUCAAUAGCAAAAACAAUGAAGGAUAAAUUAUUAGAUAAGGUAGACUUUAGGAUUUUAAUUGAGCUAAAAUAUUUUUAUUAGAUUAUUAAAAACCGGAUACAUGCUCAAACCUAGAUGUUAAAAUAAUUUAUUAAAUUAUUAAACAGAUUAAAUAGAUUGAAUUAUCCAAAAAAGAAAGAGUAGCAUCGGAAAGUGUGACUACCAAGUCAAUAACCAAUGGUUAUCAUUCUGGAUGGGACUGCAUUGAAGCCCUUUUUCACCUCCUAGGACAUCUUUUUCCAGAAAAAGUUGUUGCUCACGAAUUACUUGAUAGACGUUAAGAUCAGUCACAGCUUCUCACUGGUCUCACUGGUGUAACGGCUGCUGCUUGCUGCUGUACUUCAGAAGUUGUUGCACUUCUUUGUUAGACUUUGUUAGAUUAGUUAGGCUGUUACACAAUGGAAAAUUCUGCGGUACGGAAGUGGGUACGGUACCUGCAAAAUUCCCUUUGCACCACUUGAUUAGCUGAACUGCCCCAUCGUAUUGCCUCUUCUUGAAUACGCUUUGCUUGAUCAACUUUUCAGGUUUCUUUCUCCGUUUUGGUAGGACUGCACUGUCGUUGCCCCUGCUUGCCCUCCGUGACCCACUUUUUUCCAAGGAGGUGGUUUUCGACCAUUUUCUUUCUUCUUGAAUACACCAUUAGAUCUUUUGUCUUGACCCGAGGUUAGCUCUUUUGUCUUUUUGGAAAAAACUGCACCGCAGCUGUCCCUUCUUGACCGGCUCAACCCACUUGUCCAAAAGAUGUUGAGGGUGUCUUGUCCCUUCAGGGAUCACCACACAGGUUUUACCCGGCAAUUACUCUGUUCUUUCUUCAUUCUUCCUAUAUUUCUCAAAUAGCAUUAUGACAUGCAAAUGCUUGUUGAAUUGUUUUGAGUAUGUCCAACUAGAGACAGCUGCAGCAGCUCUGGUUAUAAUCCAUGCUUGCCUUGGAAGGUGAUUGAGUUGCAAUUUCAAGGUAGUAGGUAUUGACCACCAAAAACGGUUUGAAAUUUUGUUAUCAAAGGCUUGCCUUGGAAGGUGAUUGAGUUGCAAUUUCAAAGCCAACCUGAAAACCCCAUAAUUUCAAGGUAGUAGGUAUUGAUCACUUCUUGUCACUCACUUGGCAAAUAUUAAUUUCCAUGUAAACUCUCCAGUUCCUACCAUGCUUGGUAGAACAAAUCAAAAUAUUUCUGUCCAUAAUUUCAAGGUAGCAGGUAUUGACCACAAAAAACGGUUUGAAAUUUUGUUAUCACAAGGUUUUCCUUGGAAGGUGAUUGAGUUGCAAUUUCAAAGCUAACCUGAAAACCCCAUAAUUUCAAGAUAGUAGGUAUUGACCACUUCUUGUCAUUCACUUAGAAAAUAUUAAUUUCCAUGUAAACUCUCCAGUUCCUACCAGGCCUGGUAGAACAAAUCAAAAUAUUUCUGUCAUAAGUAUUUCAUUUUACGAAUAAAAAUGAUUAACAUGUUUUGAAAAAUCUUCAAGUCUUUCGCCAACGCUCUCUUUUAGAAUUAAUGUUAUGCUUUAAAUUUGGUUACAUUUCUUUAAACAGUACGGAUUUUCUCUCUUACAUUAAUUAGAAAAAGUAUGAUUUUUCUUUGUAAAUUAGCAUUACAGUGUAGUGCCACUUUAACGUGAUAUAGAUACGAAAAAUGAUAAAUCAUUUAUUUGAAUUUUCUUUAACGUGAUAUAGAUACACAAUAGACUGUCGUUGCCCCUGCUUGCCCUCCGUGACCCACUUUUUUCCAAGGAGGUGGUUUUCGACCAUUUUCUUUCUUCUUGAAUACACCAUUAGAUCGUGAUAUGUGGACAGCUCUAUAUGCAAAUUGAGUUUUGUCUCCUGUGGAAUGUGGAAUGUGGACUACAGCACCGUGAUAACCCACUCUUCACUGCACCAGGCUUGACCCGAGGUUAGCUCUUUUGUCUUUUUGGAAAAAACUGCACCGCAGCUGUCCCUUCUUGACCGGCUCAACCCACUUGUCCAAAAGAUGUUGAGGGUGUCUUGUCCCUUCAGGGAUCACCACACAGGUUUUACCCGGCAAUUACUUUGUUCUUUCUUCAUUCUUCCUAUAUUUCUCAAAUAGCAUUAUGACAUGCAAAUGCUUGUUGAAUUGUUUUGAGUAUGUCCAACUAGAGACAGUUGCGGCAGCUCUGGUUAUAAUCCAUGCUUUCAAUGAUGUGUAAGAAAUAUCUAACUUUAUGUUUGGUCAUGCAGAAAAUGACACUUGAAUUAUAAUUUUUAUGGGAGUUUGAAAAGUCUUGCUUCUUUGAUGGUUAUCCGAAGAUUCAAUCAUGAAAUGCAGAAAAUGUAAAUCUUUAUGUAUAUAUGAAUCUCCAACAAUCCCUAAUUUGGCACCCAUGUCAAUGGUGUGUGUACCCCAUUCAUAUGUAUUACGACCAUCUGCUAUAUAUAUAUCACAUUCAAAUGGCAAAAACAAUGAAGGAUAGAAAUUAAAAAAUAAAAUAAAAUUAUUUUAUAUAAAAUGAAAUAAAAUACCUUUGAAGCUCUUCAUGUAUAUAGGUUUGGAGUUAUUUAUUGCUUCUUCAUGGACUGGAUUUCUUCUAUAUUGUCUAGAAUAUAUACUAGAGACAACUCAAAACACCCACAAUCAUAUACAAAGAAAGAGUAGAGAUAUGGCAUCUUUUAGCAAAUUUUUGCUUACAAAAUUUUGAAAAAAAAAAAAAACAAACAUGCUUAUUUUUUGUUUUAUUUUUAAGAUUCAACAGACUUGAUUUUCAAAGCAUAUAAUAAAUUUGUUUUUGAGAAAAUAAAUGUCCUUACCCUAUUAAUUAUUUCAAAAGACAUUUUCUAAAAGUAUAAUGUUUUCGAAAAUUUUCAAGUUUUUCAUGAAUUUUUUUUUUCAUGAGUAAUGUUACAUUUUGGAUUUGGCUAGUUAAAUACAUACUAUCACUAUUUCUCUCUUUCUAAAUUAAUUGAAAAAAGUGGACUAGAAAAAGCACCAUUUUCCUUUCUAAUUAGCAUGCACGACCAAUAGUAUAGUCACUCCAUUCAUCUAUCUACCUACCUAUCUUUAUAUAAUGUCAUGUUAUACAAUGAACUUGUAAAAUGAGUGGAGAAGAUCUCCAGAAUGUAAUUAAGAUGGCAAAUUCCAAGCAUAAGAUUAAUGGAUUUAUUUUGAAUGCAAUCAUGGUUGAGUUGUAAUUAUAUCAAAAUUGUUAAAUAAAUUUAUUAAAUUAACUAUUAAAUAGGUUACAAUCUUCUAAAAAAGGAUAGAGUAGCAUAGGAAGUGAGACUACCAAGUCAAUAACCAAUGCUUUUGGACCCACUUAUAUAGUUCCAUGGUUGUCACUUUGGAUGGGACUGCAUUGAAGCCUUUGUUCACCUCUUUCACAGUUUCUUCCAAGAAGGUUGUUGCCCACCAAUUACUCUCCCUUCCUUAUCCCCUACAUUUGUAAACCACAUCCUCUCCUUCAACCUUUAUCAACAACCUUUUUUUCUUGCUCUCUCAAAGGAAAGAUGCAUCUCUUUUCACCUUAUGUUUUAGUGUUUGUUUUAGUGCAUUGUUGGGUGGCUUACUUCACUCCCAAAGUAUUCUCCAUCAAUUUAGUUGAUGAAUUUGCUCUUAUGGCCUUGAAAGCCCAUAUCACAUAUGAUUCCCAAGGCAUUUUGGUAACAAAUUGGUCAACCAAAAGCUCCUACUGCACUUGGUAUGGUAUUUCUUGCAAUGCUCCUCAGCAAAGAGUUUCUGCAAUCAACCUCUCUAACAUGGGUCUUGAAGGAACUAUUGCGCCACAAGUCGGCAACCUCUCAUUUCUUAUUUCUCUUGAUCUUAGCAAUAACUACUUCCAUGCCUUUCUUCCUAAGGAAAUUGGUAAGAUUCUUAUAAUUUUUGUCUACUUUAUAGGUUAUCAUAAUUUUUGGCUUUCAAUCGUAAUGAAAUAGUUGAGUAAUUGAUAAAUUAUAGUUCCAAAAAUAAUAUUGAUAUAUUUGGUAGAUUGGAUUGUUGAAUUAUUAUGACCAUGAAUAAUAACUAAAAUAGGAAUGAUACAACUUUAACUUAUUCUCUUUAUUUUGAUAUAAAAUUCAUUUUAAUUAAAUAAAUCAUUUUACAAUUUAAAAAUUAGUUUUAUUUUUUUAAUUCCCUAUUUUUUUUUUCUUUUUUUGAAUGAAUUCAAGUAAACACAAUUAUAGUAAUGGUAAUGAUUUUUUAUUCUAAUUUUUAGAAUGAACAAUACCAAAUACAAAUCAGAAUAAACAUACACAACGGUAAUAAAAAGUUUCAAUUGACAGAGUAUUUUUCUUUUUAAGUUAUAACAUUAAAUAAUUUAUUUAUAGUGAUAUCUUACAAUUGAUAGAUAAUUUCAAAUAUAGAAAAUUUUGAUCCAACAAAUUAUAUUAUAAAAAAGUCAACAUAAUUUAAUGUAAUAUAUUAUACAUUAAAAUGUAAUAAAAUAUUUAAUAGAUAUCAAAUAAUUUCAUCUAUACACACACAUACACACACACACACAUAUAUAUAUAUAUAUAUAUAUAUAAUAUUUAUUUGUGAUAAACAAUAGUGGAUAAUUUUUUUGUUAACAUUCCCAAUAAAAAAAAAAUAUCAAUUAUUUAUUAUAUUCUAUCUAAUACUCAACAUUUGUGUUAAGUGUAUAGUUAAUUUCACAAAUUAUUAUUAUAAAUUAAGAAACAUCAUUGUACACACAAUUCAAACCAUCGUAUAGGUUCCAAAUUGUAUUCCAUCAAACCAAAAUGCACUACCCUUAAAUGCUUGGAACUAUCAAUAUGUGGUUCAUGAUAAGUUUUCCUCAAUAUUAGUGUCACUUGCAAAUGUUAUCAUCAUGUUUGAUUCCGUGAAAGUACUAAGAAAAAAAUAUUGAAAGAAAUUAUUUUCUUAUAUUUGAUUUUACUAUAAAAAUAUGAAAAAAAUCAAAUAUAAUUAAAAUUAAUCUAUUUUUAAAUAGAAAAUUUAAAACAAGUGAAAGGAGCCUGAUUAUGUUUGGUUCCCAAAAAGUUUUAGUGACAAUACAAGGGAAAAAAAAUAAAGAGUUUCUUUGAAGAAAAGAAAAAGUGAAAACAAUAAAAUAAAUAAAUAAAUUUGAAGUUAAUAAAUUAUUUUUAUAUGAUCAUUCACAUUCAUUUAAAAUUAAAAAAAAAGAUUUAAAUUUAAUAAAUUAAUUUUAUAUGUUUCUUCAUAUUUAUUUACUUAUUUUAAUUCUUCCAUACGAAGAUAUACUAAUUUGAAAAUAAAUAAAAUUCUAAUUAAUUUUAAUUCUCUUUUAUUUUCUUUCGUAUUUUCUACAUAAAACCAACAAUAAGAAAAUUAUUUUCCUUUAAUAUUUUCUUUUCUUUCUUUAAUACUCUUCUCAACCUAACAUAGUUUUUAUGUUCAUAAUAAUAAUAAUAUUUUAGAUAUUUUUUCAUUUUAUUUUAGGUAAGUGCAAGGAGCUUCAACAGUUGAAUUUAUUCAACAAUAAUCUGGUUGGAAGCAUUCCAGAAGCCAUUUGUAAUUUAUCAAAACUUGAAGAGCUGUAUCUUGGCAACAAUAAGUUGGCUGGUGAAAUUCCAAAGAAGAUGAGUGAUCUUCUUAAUCUGAAGAUAUUGUCAUUCCCAAUGAACAACUUAACAGGUUCCAUACCAGCCACUAUUUUCAACAUAUCUUCUUUGCUCAAUAUUAGUCUCUCCUAUAAUAGUCUCUCUGGGAAUCUUCCCAUGGUUAUGUGCAAUACCAAUCCAAAGCUCAAGGAGCUUAAUCUUUCAUCAAAUCACCUGAGUGGAGAGAUCCCCACCAGUUUAAGCCAAUGUAUAAAGCUUCAAGUAAUUUCCUUAUCAUAUAAUGAAUUCACGGGAAGCAUACCAAAAGGAAUUGGUAACUUGGUGGAGCUUCAGAGAUUGUCUUUCAGGAAUAAUAACUUGAUAGGUACACUUUUUUUUCCUUUCUUUUCUUCCUUUUUAUUCGCUCACUUUCUCUCAAGCUUUCAAAGAUGUAAGCAAUGCAUUGAAGUUUUUCCAACCCACUCAUUUUAAUUUUCUUGCAGGAGAAAUACCUCAAUCACUGUUCAACAUAUCUUCAUUGAGGUUUUUGAAUCUGGCAGCCAAUCAACUCGAAGGUGAAAUCCCCUCCAACUUGUCGCAUUGUCGAGAGCUCCGAGUACUAUCAUUAUCAUUAAAUCAGUUUACUGGAGGCAUUCCACAAGCCAUAGGGAGUUUAUCGAAUCUUGAAGAAUUAUAUCUUGGUUAUAACAAUUUGGGAGGUGGAAUUCCUAGCGAGAUUGGGAAUCUUCAUAAUUUAAAUAUUUUGAACUUCGAGUCUGCUAGACUAAGUGGUCCUAUUCCUGCCCAAAUUUUCAACAUCUCUUCGUUGCAAGUUAUUGCUUUUAGUAAUAAUAGCCUUUCUGGGAGUCUUCCAAUAGAUAUCUGCAAACAUCUUCCUAAUCUCCAAAGGCUCCACCUUUCUUGGAAUCAGCUCAGUGGCCAACUUCCUACAACCCUGUCCUUAUGUGGAGAGCUUCUGUCACUGUCACUAUAUUACAACAAAUACGCAGGAAGCAUAAUAAGAGAAAUUGGCAACUUAUCCAAGCUUGAACAGAUUUAUCUUGGGAGGAAUAACUUCACAAGUACCAUUCCACCUUCAUUUGGUAAUUUAACUGCCAUACAGGAGCUUGGAUUGGAGGAAAACAAUUUUCAAGGUAAUAUCCCCAAGGAGUUGGGGAAACUCAUCAACUUACAAAUAUUGCAUCUUGGCCAAAACAAUCUAACGGGGAUUGUACCAGAAGCUAUUAUCAACAUCUCUAAGCUGCAGGUCCUUUCGCUAUCACUAAAUCACCUCUCAGGCAGUCUCCCAUCAAGUAUUGGCACUUGGCUUCCAAAUCUUGAAGGACUUUAUAUAGGAGCCAAUGAAUUCAGUGGAAAAAUUCCGAUGUCCAUUUCCAAUAUGUCGAAACUUCUCUUCAUGGACAUAAGCAACAACUACUUCAUUGGGAAUUUGCCAAAAGACCUAGGUAACAUGAGACGACUCCAGAUCCUCAACCUUUCAUACAACCAGUUGACUAAUGAACAAUCAGACUCUGAGCUUGCCUUUUUUACAUCAUUGACGAAUUGCAUUUCUUUGAGAAAAUUGCGGAUCGGUGGUAAUCCUUUAAAAGGCAUUAUUCCAAAUUCAUUGGGGAAUCUCUCCAUUUCUAUUGAAAGGAUUGGAGCGAGAAGCUGCCAACUCAGAGGCACCAUCCCUACAGGGGUUAGUAAUCUAACCAACUUGAUUGGUUUAGGACUUGAUGAUAAUGACUUGACAGGGUUGAUUCCAACAUCAUUUGGACGCCUACAGAAGCUCCAGGCGUUGGGUAUUUCUCAAAAUCGAAUACGCGGAUCCAUUCCUAGUGAUCUAUGCCAUUUGACAAACUUGGGAUUCUUGGAUUUGAGUUCGAAUAAACUUUCCGGAACAAUCCCUAGCUGCUUUGGGAAUCUUACUUCACUACGAAGAAUCAAUCUUCACUCCAAUGGACUAGCUUCUGAGAUACCUUCAUCUCUGUGGAUCCUUAGAUAUCUCUUGUUUCUUAACUUGUCUUCAAACUUCCUCAACGGCGAACUACCCUUAGAAGUUGGAAACAUGAAGUCCUUAGAGGAAUUGGACCUAUCAAAGAACCAAUUUUCAGGAAACAUCCCCAGCACUAUAUCACUUCUUCAAAACCUGCUCCAACUUUACCUAUCCCAUAACAAGCUACAAGGUCAUAUUCCCCCCAAUUUUGAUGAUUUGGUGAGCUUGGAAUACUUGGAUCUGUCAGGGAACAAUUUAUCUGGUUUUAUUCCCAAGUCAUUAGAGGCUCUGAAAUAUCUCAAAUACCUGAAUGUUUCUUUCAAUAAACUACAAGGAGAGAUUCCAAACGGAGGACCCUUUGCAAACUUCACUGCUGAAUCUUUCAUCUCCAACCUAGCACUUUGUGGAGCACCUCGGUUUCAAGUCAUGGCAUGUGAGAAAGAUACUAGAAGGAACACAAAAUCACUCCUCUUGAAAUGUAUUGUGCCACUAAGUGUAUCAUUAUCAACAAUAAUACUAGUGGUUCUCUUUGUUUUAUGGAAGCGAAGACAGACUAAGUCAGAAACUCCGGUUCAAGUUGACUUGUUGCUUCCCAGAAUGCAUAGAAUGAUUCUACACCAAGAACUCCUUUAUGCAACCAGCUACUUCGGAGAAGACAAUUUGAUUGGGAAAGGAAGCUUAGGCACGGUAUAUAAAGGGGUAUUAUCCGAUGGGUUGAUUGUUGCUGUGAAGGUUUUCAAUUUGGAAUUGCAGGGAGCUUUCAAGAGUUUUGAGGUAGAAUGUGAAGUAAUGCAGAAUAUUCGCCAUCGAAAUCUUGCCAAGAUAAUUAGUAGUUGCUCCAAUUUGGACUUCAAAGCCUUGGUGCUUGAGUAUAUGCCUAAUGGGAGCUUAGAGAAGUGGUUGUACUCUCACAACUACUACUUGGAUUUUGUCCAACGAUUAAAAAUUAUGAUAGAUGUGGCAUCAGGGUUAGAGUAUCUCCAUCAUGAUUAUUCAAGUCCUGUGGUUCACUGUGACUUGAAGCCCAACAAUGUCUUAUUAGAUGAUGACAUGGUUGCACACAUAAGUGAUUUCGGCAUUGCAAAACUGUUGAUGGGAAGCGAGUUUAUGAAGCGAACCAAAACCUUGGGCACCAUAGGCUAUAUGGCACCAGGUAAAGUUUCCUACCACUUCAACACAUUCUUAUGUCAUUUUUUUCUCUCUCUCAACUAGUUGGUUUUCCAUUUGACCAAGAAGCACUAUUUGGCAUCAAAGUUUUACAUAAUGAACAACUAAUAUUACAUGCAGGGUGUAAGUUAGAGGAUAAGUUAUUGUAAGUAUUCUAGGUUUUUUAAAUUGUUUUCAAUCCUUUGAAAAAUGGAGAGGUGUCAUUGGCUCUUUACAAACGUCUUACAUGAUCAUUUUUGACCUCUUGAUAAUUAAUAUUUUUUAACUAGAAGAUUGUUUUUUAUUAAUUAUUUAUCUUUCUCUAUAUUACUAUUUCUUUGUUCAUUUUACUAAUGGAAACUAAUAUGCAAGCAUGCAGAGUAUGGCUCAGAGGGAAUAGUAUCUACAAAAUGUGAUAUAUAUAGUUUUGGGAUCAUGCUCAUGGAAACUUUUGUGAGGAAGAAGCCUACAGAUGAAAUGUUUAUGGAGGAACUAACCUUGAAGAGUUGGGUGGAGUCAUCAACCAACAACAUAAUGGAGGUUAUAGAUGCCAAUCUCCUGACAGAAGAAGAUGAAAGUUUUGCCUUAAAACAAGCUUGUUUUUCUUCCAUCAUGACAUUAGCUCUGAAUUGUACAGCUGAGCCUCCUGAGAAAAGGAUUAACAUGAAAGAUGUGGUGGUUAGACUCAAGAAGCUCCUGAAUCAAAUUGUUGAUUUAAGGGCUCCAUAAUUAAGAAGAAGGCAUGGAGAUCAUGUCCCUUUCUUCCACCCUGAGCUUAUUUAAGAGUUCACAAAUCAAGAAUUGAGGGACCAUUGGGCAUGGCUUGCCAAGUAGUUGAAAGUUCCUUAUUAUGUCAACUCUAUGCAAAUUAUGCUCAAAUGUUUGUGUAGUUCCAUCCAUUUCCCCCAAUGUAAUUCAGCUUGAAUAAUGCCAUGAGUCUGAAUGCUUUUAUUUCGUAUUUUCCCAUUACCAUAAUAUUAAGUGAAGGUGCCCGGUGAAUAACUUUUGGAAGAACAUUUCAUGCUUUUCUUUUUAAGAUAUGAUAGACUUUAAUAAAUUAUUUGUCUAUGAUUGAUCACUUUAGCAAAUUGCCCGGUCAAAAUUGACCUCUACUUGUAGACAUAUCUUACUUAAUUUCUUAUAACUUGCAAUUACUUUCAGAUUGUGUAUAAUUGGAUUUGACUUAUUUCAAAAUCAUGGCUCGUGAGAAUUAAGAAGUUUGAGAAUUCAUAUUUAAAGUAAUUUGAACGAUAUUUAUCAUGUAAUUUGAGCAAUUUUGGAAAGGUCAACAAUUUUAAUUUUGUGUUUUUAUUUGUGAGAAUUAAGAUCUCAAAUUGGAUAAAGAAUUUAGUAAAAUGUUAAAAAGAAAAAAAUUUAGAAUAGGAAAUAAUUUUUUUUUAAAAUAAUCACCAUGGUAAUGUGGGUGUCACAUAGCACAAUUAACCAUGGUUUUGUUUCUAUAAACAAAAAUUUGUCAUUUCAUCAAAAUAUAUAGUAAUCAACCAAAUUCAUACUUGAAUGAAAAAGCAUGACCUCUAUAUCUAUAUUUAAAGUGAUAUGGAAUGAUAAAUAUUUUGUUCAUGUAUAUAAAAGAAUAUUAAGGUUGGGAAUUCCAAGCACAAGGUUAAGGAAUUAAUUAGUUUGAGUCCAAUUAGAUGUAAAACAAUUUAUUAAAUUGUACGUUAAACAGAUUACAACUUUGAUAAGUGAACUGCACCAUGGUUAGCACUCCGGAUGGGACUACAUUGAAGCCCUUUUUCACCUCCUAGGAUAUCUUUUUCCAAAAAAGGUUGUUGCUCACGAUUUACUUGAUAGACGUUAAGAUCACUCACAGCUCUCACUGGUCUCACUGGUGUAACGGCUGCUGUUUGCUGCUAUACUUCAGAAGUUGUUGCACUUCUAAAGUUAGGUGGUUUGUUACACUUUGUUAGAUUAGUUACACAAUGGAAAAUUCUACGGCACCGAAGUGGGUACCGCAUCUGCAAAAUUCUUGUCCGUUGGAUCAAAAGCUUCCAAUCAAGACUGAAUGCCUUUGCACCACUUAGCUGGACUGCGCCAUCGUAUUGCCUCUUCUUGAAUACGCUUUGCUUGAUCAACUUUUCAGGUUUCUUUCUCGGUUUUGGUAGGACUGCACUGUCGUUGCCCCUACUUGCCCUACAUGACACACUUUUUUCCAAGGAGGUGGUUUCCCGCCAAUUUCUUUCUUCUUAAAUACACCAUUAGAUCGUGAUAUGCGGACAGCUCUAUAUGCAAAUUGAGUUUUGUCUCCUGUGGAAUGUGGAAUGUGGACUACAGCACCGUGAUAACCCACUCUUCACUGCACCAGGCUUGACCCGAGGUUAGCUCUUUUGUCCUUUUGGAAAACUGCACCGCAGCUGUCCCUUCUUGACCGGCUCAACCCACUUCUCCAAGAGAGGUUGAGGGUGUCUUGUCCCUUUGGGGAUCACCACACAGAGUUUACCCACCAAUUAUUUUCUUCAUUCUUCGUACAUUUCUCCAAUUGCAUUAUGAAAUGCAAAUGCUUGUUGCAUUGUUUUGAGUGUGUCCAGCUACAGACAGUUGCAGCAGCUCUGGUCAUAAUCCAUGCUUUCAGUGAUGUGUAGGAAAUAUCAGACUUUAUGUUCGAAGUGUCAUGCAGAAAAUGACACUUGAAUUAUAAUUUUUAUGGGAGUUAGAAAAGUCUUGCUUCUUUGAUGAUUAUCCAAAGAUUCAAUCAUGAAAUGCAGAAAAUGUAAACUUUAUGUAUAUAGGUUUGGAACUUAUUUCUUUAGAAAAUGUAAAUCUUUAUGUAUAUAUGAAUCUUGAACAAUCCCUAAUUUCGCACCCAUAUUAAUGGUUUGCAUAUCCCAUUCAUAUGUAUUACAACCAUCUACUAUAUAUAUCACAUUCAAAUAAAAGUAUGCUUAUAGAAUUGAUAUUGAAUACUCGAUCAAAUUAAUAUUCCAUUACUUAGAUCAAAACUCAACGGCAAAAACAAUGAAGGAUAGAAAAGCUCUUCAUGUAUAUAGGUUUGGAGCUUAUUUAUUUCUUCAUCGGCGGAUUUCUGAAGGGCAGCUUUUUGAAAAAAUUUCAAGUCUUUCACUAAUCCUCUUUUUCCACAAGUAAUGUCACAUUCCACAAGUAUUUCUAUAUGCUUCUUCAAUAUAUUUGAGAGAGAAGUUAUAUACAAAUUAUCACACACUCUCUCUAUUUGAAUUGAUUGAAUAAAGUGGACCAAAAAAAGUAUCAUUUUCCUUUCUAAAUUGAUAUAACCAAUAGUAAAGUGUCACUCUAAUGAAAUGAUAAAUCAUUUGUUAUGAUGUGAUAUACAUAUGAAAUGAUAAAUCUUUUGUUCAAAUAUAAAUUAGGUUGUUUUGUUUGAAUUAACAAUUUUGUUCUAUUCAUCUUGUCUGAGCAAUUGUUUACUUGACUUUCCUUACUCUCUAUUGAAGAUUCAAAAUUGUUGUCAUCAACCCAAAAUUAAACAGGUAUAGAGAGAUUCAAGAAAGGCUAAUUAGGAUAAAUUAUGAGAUAAAAUUGGCUUUAAGUUUUUAAUUAAGCUAAAAUAUUUUUAAUUAGAUUAUUAAAAACUGGACCAACACUCAAACCUAGUGCUCAAGCACUUUAAGAACACCCAAGCGUUUGAAGCAAAAUUUUCCAAAAUUGAAUUCCUUAUUUUGCUUUCAUUAUAGGUGUUUGCUCACUAAGGUUUCAUCUCUAUAUAAAUACUGUGCCUAAAAAUCAUUUUGGUUAUUGAUGCAAAUUUCAUAAAAAGAUUAUUAGCCUUUACUACAUCCCAAUACUCCCAUAUUUUUGUGAUUCUCAUUCUUUGGGUUGGUGAGAAAGAUCUUCAUCUCUUCAGGUGUUAAGGUAGUCCACUUGGUGCAGAUAUGAUGUUGCAUUUUGGACUUGAAAACUAGUAUAUAUAUUGGAAAUUAAAACUUAGGGAGAACAUCUGCCAUGUAAAUUUGUAUACUUUUCUUUUAAUAGUGGGCUUUUGCUUUAUAGUCUCUUGCCAUGUGAUUUUUUUUACAUUUAUAUGGUAUUUGGGAGAUUUUAUGGGUGGUUUUUCAUGUAAAAUUUGUUGGUUUCUCUUUUUUUUUUUUCUUUCUAAUUAUUAAAUAGGAAUUAAAAACAAAAAAUUGUAUUAAAAAGAAGAUAAUACGAAUUACCCCCUUAGGUAUUUCGUAAUUGAAAUAUACAAAUUUUUAGAAUGUCAUACAUUUAACAUAUAAAAUGUGGAGAAGAUUUCUAGUGUAUAAUUAAUAUAGAGAAUUCCAAGCAUAAGGUUCACGGAUUUAGAUUGAGUGCAAUCAUCUUGAGUUGUAAUUAUAUCAAAGUUGUUAAAGCAAUCUAUUAAAUUAAUUAUUAAAUAGGUCACAAUCUUCUAAACAAGAAGUAGCAUAGGAAAGAGAUUGCCAAGUCAAUAACCAAUGCUUUUGGACCACUUAGAAAGUUCCAUGGUUGUCACUCUGGGUGGGACUGCACUUGAAGCCCUUUUCUACUUCCUCACCCACUUCUUCCAAGAAGUUUGCUACCCACCGAUUACUCUCCCUUCCUUAACCCUUGUUUUGUUGAACCACAUCCUCUCCUUCAACAUUUAUCAACGACUUUUUUUUCUUGUUCUUGUUAGAUUAAUUUUUGUAAUUAAUCUAUAAUUUGGGCCACACAUGUAAAUAAUUAAAAUAUGUGUGCUAUCAUUUAAUUAAGCCUAAAUAUAGUGAUCUAAUUAAUAAUUGAUUAAUUGGCUUAAGGGUAUAAUUGUCAUGAGAUUAUUGUGUAGAUACCAUUAGACAAUUAUUAUUUCUAUGAGGGGCAGAAAUAUAAUUGUGAUAAAAUUAAAACUGCCCUAGCGGUUUAUAAAUAGGGUUAUGGUCCCCAUUCUACGACUACGCAUUCCAAUUUCUGAAAAUCCUCUCAGAGAGAAAUUGACACAGAAUCUAGUGGCUUGAAUUGGAAGACCAUCGCAAAGGGUUUUCUUCUUAUAAGGUUUCUCCUUCAAUGGAUUCAGGUAUGCUUCCGCUAUUAUUUUUCUACUCAUUGUUUUUAAUCAGGAGAUUCCAGUAUAUAUGAAAUUAUGGUAUUCACCUUGUUAAAUAUUCCAGUAUAUAUGAAGUUAGGGUAUUCACCUUGUUAAAUAUUCCAGUAUAUAUGAAAUUAGGGUAUUCAUCUUGGUUGAGAUACAACAAGUGGUAUCAGAGCCUACUCCUUGAUUAAUUCUUUGAGUUAUUAUUUUAAUAUAUAUAUAUAUAUAUAUAUAUAUAUAUAUAUAUAUAUAUAUAUAUAUAUAUAUAUAUAUAUAUAUAUAUAUAUAUAUAUAUGUCAAUGGAUUAAGAUUUAUGAAAUAUUGAGUUGAUAAUUUUUUUUAUUACUAUUAUUAUUAUUAUUAUUAUUAUUAUUAUUAUUAUUAUUAUUUAAUAAUUUUCUUAUAUUUAAUUUUACUAUGAAAAAUAUGAAAAAAAAUCAAAUAUAAUUAAUUAAAACUUAUCUAUUUUAAAAUUAUUUAAUCUUUAUAUAAAUGAAUUAAAACAAGUGAAAUAUAUUUAAAUCAACGAAACCAAUCUUGUUCUUCGCUGUUAAUGCCAUGGCCAUAGCUCUACUCCAUGUGUUGUAAUUGCUCUCAGUUAAGUGGUGUGAGACAAGGAUGAGUUCGGGAUGAUCACCAUUGUGAAGAAAAAAAGGGCUACUUACAUCUUCCAUUGUUGACACUUCAAAUGAUCUAAUCAUAGCUCGUUUAUUGGGUUGAUUACCUCGAGCCAUGAAAAAAAAUAAAAAAUAAAAAAUCAGAGAAUGAGCAUAAGGAAUUGCUCUGAUAUCAUAUUGCUGGUUUUACCAAAAGGAAGGAAUCAAAGGGAGAGAAAACAAAGUGAAUGCACUGAUUCUUUGAUCCUCAACCUCUCAACAGAAUAAAACCAAAAAGCUAGUUUAUAUGGGAGCCAGAGUAACAAACUGUAACCAACUCUCAGCUAUGAAAAAGAAAAAAAAAACAAACAAAGAAAAAUAACAAUCAAAGGGUAAUAAUCAAAGGUACUACCAGCCCUUAUUACAGAAAUGCCAAUAUGCUCUAAUAUUUAACAUCUCUUCUUUACUCAACAUUAGUCUGUCCUACAAAAGCCUCUCUGGGAGUCUUCCCAUGAAUAUAUGCAACACCAAUCCAAAGCUCAAGGAGCUUAAUCUUUCGUCAAAUCAUUUGAGUGGACAGAUCCCUAUUGGUUUAGGUCAAUGUAUAAAACUUCAAGUAAUUUCCUUAUCAUAUAAUGAAUUCACGGGAAGCAUACCAAGAGGAAUUGGUGAAUUGGUGGAGCUUCAGAGAUUCUCUCCAGAAUAACAGUUUGACAGGUACACUUUUUCUUUUCUUUUUUAUUUUUCCUUUUUAUUCUUUCACUUUCCCUCAAGCUUUCAAAGAUGUAAGCAUAACGUUAAUGUUUUUCCAACCAACUCAUUUUAAUUGUGUUACAGGAGAAAUACCUCAUUCUCUGUUCAACAUCUCUAGGCUUAAGUUUUUGAAUCUGGCAGUAAAUAACCUAAAAGGUGAAAUCCCCUCCACUUUGCCAUCUAGAGCUCCAAGUUUUAGCAUUAUCAUUUAAUCAAUUCACUGGAUGCAUUCCAGAAGGCAUAGGGAGUUUAUCUAAUCUUGAACAUAACAAAAUGGCAGGUGGAAUUCCUAAGGAGAUGGGGAAUCUUUGUAAUUUAAAUAUUUUGAGCCUAAAGUCUAGUGGACUAAGUGGUCCUAUUCCUGCCGAAAUUUUCAAGAUCUCUUCAUUGGAAAAGAUGUAUUUCCAAUGGAUAUUUGCAAACAUCUUCCUAAUCUCCAAGGGCCCUAUCUUGAUGGGAAUCAGCUCAGUGGUCAACUUCCUGCAACUCUGUCCUUAUGUGGAGAGCUUUUGUCACUAUCACUAUUUUACAACAAAUUCGCAGGAAGCAUACCAAGAGAAAUUGGCAACUUAUCCAAGCUUGAAUAUAUUAAUCUCAGAAGGAAUAGCUUCGCAGGUAGCAUUCCACCUUCAUUUGGUAAUAUCCCCAAGGAGUUGGGGAAUCUCAUCAACUUACAAUUCUUGGAUCUUUGCGACAACAAUUUAAUGGGGAUAGUACCAGAAGCUAUUUUUAACAUCUCUAAGCUGCAGAUCCUUUCGCUGGUACUAAAUCACCUUUCAGGCAGUCUCCCAUCAGGUAUUGGCACUUGGCUCCCGGAUCUUGAAGGGCUUUAUAUAGGUGCCAAUCAAUUUAGUGGAAUAAUUCCAUUGUCUAUUUCAAAUGUCAAAGCUAACAAUCCUAAGCAUGAGCAAUAACUUCUUCACUGGAUAUGUGCCAAAGGAUCUAGGUAACUUGAGACGACUCCAGUGGCUCCACCUUUCAGGAAACCAAUUGACUGAUGAACACUCAACCUCUGAGCUUGCCUUUCUUACAUCAUUAACGAAUUGCAACUCUUUGAGAAAAUUGUGGAUCAGUGGUAAUCCUUUAAAAGGCAUUAUUCCAAAUUCAUUAGGGAAUCUCUCAAUUUCUUGAAAGUAUUUACGCGGGUGACUGCCAACUCAGAGGCACAAUCCCUACAGGGAUUAGAAUUUGAUCAACUUGAUUGAUUUGACACUCAAUGAUAAUGACUUGAUAGGGUUCAUUCCAACAUCAUCUGGACUCCUACAGAAGCUGCAGUUUUUAGCUAUCCCUGGAAAUCGAAUACACGGAUCCAUUCCUCGUGGUCUAUGCCAUUUGACAAACUUGGGAUACUUGGAUUUGAGUUCGAAUAAACUUCCUGGAACAAUCCCUAGCUACUUUGGGAAUCUUACUAGACUGCGGAACAUCUACUCCAGUGGACUAGCUCCUGAGAUACCUUCAUCUCUGUGGACCCUUAGAGAUCACUUGAUUCUUAACUUGUCUUCAAACUUCCUCAACAGCCAACUACCCCUGGAAGUUGGGAACAUGAAGUCCUUACUGGUAUUGGACCUGUCAAAGAACCAAUUUUCAGGAAACAUCCCAAGCACCAUAUCACUUCUUCAAAACCUGCUCCAACUUUUCCUAUCCCAUAACAAGCUACAAGGUCAUAUGCCCCCCAAUCUUGGUGAUUUGGUGAGCUUGGAAUAACUGGAUCUGUCUGGGAACAAUUUAUCUGGUUCUAUUCCCAAGUCACUAGAGGCUCUGAAAUAUCUCAAAUACCUAAAUGUUUCUUUCAAUAAAGUACAAGGAGAGAUUCCAAACGGAGGACCCUUUGCAAACUUCACUGCUGAAUCUUUCAUCUCCAACCUAGCACUUUGUGGAGCACCUCGAUUUCAAGUCAUGGUACUUGAGAAAGAUACUAGAAGGAACACAAAAUCACUCCUCUUGAAAUGUAUUGUCCCUCUGAGUGUAUCAUUAUCAGCAAUAAUAUUAGUGAUUCUCUUUAUUCUAUGGAAGCGAAGACACACCAAGUCAGGAACUCCGGUUCAAGUUGAUUUGCCGCUUCCCAGAAUGCAUAGAAUGAUUCCACAUCAAGAACUCCUUUAUGCAACCAGCUACUUUGGUGAAGACAAUUUGAUUGGAAAAGGAAGCUUAGGAAUGGUAUAUAAAGGGGUACUAUCCGAUGGGUUGAUUGUUGCUGUGAAGGUUUUCAAUUUGGAAUUGCAGGGAGCUUUCAAGAGUUUUGAGGUAGAAUGUGAAGUAAUGCGGAAUAUUCGCCAUCGAAAUCUUGCCAAGAUAAUUAGUAGUUGCUCCAACUUGGACUUCAAAGCGUUGGUGCUUGAGUAUAUGCCUAAUGGGAGCUUAGAGAAGUGGUUGUACUCUCACAAAUACUACUUGGAUUUUGUCCAACGAUUAAAAAUUAUGAUAGAUGUGGCAUCAGGGUUGGAGUAUCUCCAUCAUGAUUACUCAAAUCCUGUGGUUCACUGUGACUUGAAGCCCAGCAAUGUCUUGUUAGAUGAUGACAUGGUUGCACACAUAAGUGAUUUCGGCAUUGCAAAACUGUUGAUUGGAAAUGAGUUUAUGAAGCGAACCAAAACCUUGGGCACCAUAGGCUAUAUGGCACCAGGUAAAGUUUCCUACAACUUCAACACAUUCUUAUGCCAUUUCUUUUCUCUCUCAACUAGCUGGUUUUCCAUAAUGAACAA